This 729-nucleotide ribosomal RNA is filed under the name uncultured bacterium. Its description in RNAcentral is "bacterial SSU rRNA". It matches the Rfam family "Bacterial small subunit ribosomal RNA", at positions 771 to 1501 of the family's 1533-position model. The record is from RNAcentral.
AACAGGAUUAGAUACCCUGGUAGUCCACGCCGUAAACGAUGAGUGCUAGGUGUUAGGGGGUUCCGCCCCUUAGUGCUGCAGUUAACGCAUUAAGCACUCCGCCUGGGGAGUACGGCCGCAAGGCUGAAACUCAAAAGAAUUGACGGGGGCCCGCACAAGCGGUGGAGCAUGUGGUUUAAUUCGAAGCAACGCGAAGAACCUUACCAGGUCUUGACAUCUUCGGAUGUCCCUAGAGAUAGGGAGUUCCCUUCGGGGACCGAAUGACAGGUGGUGCAUGGUUGUCGUCAGCUCGUGUCGUGAGAUGUUGGGUUAAGUCCCGCAACGAGCGCAACCCUUGAUCUUAGUUGCCAGCAUUCAGUUGGGCACUCUAAGGUGACUGCCGGUGACAAACCGGAGGAAGGUGGGGAUGACGUCAAAUCAUCAUGCCCCUUAUGACCUGGGCUACACACGUGCUACAAUGGAUGGUACAGAGGGAAGCAAAACCGCGAGGUCAAGCCAAUCCCAUAAAACCAUUCUCAGUUCGGAUUGUAGGCUGCAACUCGCCUACAUGAAGCCGGAAUCGCUAGUAAUCGUGGAUCAGCAUGCCACGGUGAAUACGUUCCCGGGCCUUGUACACACCGCCCGUCACACCACGAGAGUUGGCAACACCCGAAGUCGGUGGGGUAACCAUUUGGAACCAGCCGCCGAAGGUGGGGCCAAUGAUUGGGGUGAAGUCGUAACAAGGUAACC